UUUGUUUGGCGACAAUUUUAACAAAUUCGUCGGCAAUAGAGAAAAUUUUCGCGCCUGCCCAUCCCGCCUCACAGUCCCCCCAGCCAUAGAAUGGGAAAAUUAAAUUAAAAAACAUUAGCUAUCUAACCCAUUAUUUUUCUCUCCAUCUCCGUUGCAUCUCCUUCACCUUUCUCUCUUUUUUUUUUUUUUCUUUUUUUUCUUCUGUCAAAAUCAUUUUCCACCGCAAACCCACUUUCUUCCUUCAAAACUUGGGUUGAAUCAAAUCAGCUGCUCUCUUUAAAGGUUGCCGAUCGAUCUGCUGGUUGCCGUUCCGUUGUGGUUGUUGCCGUUCUGCAGGUGAUGCCUCUAGGUCUUCAAGGCAAGGACUACCUCAGCAAGCUCUAAAUUAUGAGUAGGGUAAUUCAACUCAUGCUUCUUCAAUAGUUUUGAAGAAUAGCAACUACCUUUAUUGCUGCAUCAACAAAUAACCUAAACCUUGAUUGGACACAUUUAAGUAGAACUUGAAUCCCUUAUUUAGUUGUGGUAAGGUUAGAAUAGGAGCUAAUGUCAACCUUUUGUUUAAUUCUUGGAAGCUUUGUUCAUAUUAAUUAGUCCACUUAAACUUAACUCCUUUUUAGGUUAGAUAGUAGAGUGGUUGUGCUAUCUUUGAGAACCUUUGAAUGAUGCAAUGGUAGUACCUUACUAAACCAUGAAAACUCCAUACUUUUGCCACCAUGGUAUGGCAUUCCCAAUUUAAUUUGGCCCUUACUUUCUUAAGUUCCACAAAAUACCAUUUGUUAACAUUAUGUGUAUGAGAAAUCCCAUUCUGUCCAAUUAGAAUUCACAUUUAUUGAACUUGGCAUAUAGUUGAUGCUGCCUUAGAGUUUGAGUAAACCAAGAUG
Ziziphus jujuba (common jujube) is the source of this 881-nucleotide long non-coding RNA. RefSeq lists it as uncharacterized. The transcript is spliced from 3 exons. The record is from RefSeq and is a predicted model, not a curated record. Lineage: Eukaryota; Viridiplantae; Streptophyta; Magnoliopsida; Rosales; Rhamnaceae.